This is a small nucleolar RNA of Monopterus albus (swamp eel), 150 nucleotides long. NCBI's taxonomy places the organism in Eukaryota, Metazoa, Chordata, Actinopteri, Synbranchiformes, Synbranchidae. The record is from Ensembl.
CUUCAGUGAUGAUACGAUGACGAGACGGAACAGGACUCAGUCUGGCUCUGCAGGUUACCGGUUCAGGUCCACGUUCUGUGGUUCAGCUCCGGUUCCUCAGAUCAGGGAGUCAUUUCUACAUGAAGACACAGAGGCAUUUGUCUGAGAAGG